CCUACGGGAGGCAGCAGUGAGGAAUAUUGGUCAAUGGGCGCGAGCCUGAACCAGCCAAGUCGCGUGAGGGAAGACGGUCCUAUGGAUUGUAAACCUCUUUUGUCGGGGAGCAAAAGACGCCACGCGUGGCGUUCCGAGAGUCCCCGAAGAAAAAGCAUCGGCUAACUCCGUGCCAGCAGCCGCGGUAAUACGGAGGAUGCGAGCGUUAUCCGGAUUUAUUGGGUUUACGGGGUGCGCAGGCGGAAGAUCAAGGCAGCGGUAAAAUUGAGAGGCUCAACCUCUUCGAGCCGUUGAACAUGGUUUUCUUGAGUGAGCGAGAAGGAAGCGGAAUGGGUGGUGUAGCGGGGAAAUGCAUAGAU
RNAcentral lists this ribosomal RNA (359 nucleotides) under uncultured bacterium. Its description in RNAcentral is "partial 16S ribosomal RNA". It matches the Rfam family "Bacterial small subunit ribosomal RNA", at positions 338 to 695 of the family's 1533-position model. The record is from RNAcentral.